AGCAUAUCAAUAAGCGGAGGAAAAGAAACCAACAGGGAUUGCCCUAGUAACGGCGAGUGAAGCGGCAACAGCUCAAAUUUGAAAUCUGGCUUCGGCCCGAGUUGUAAUUUGCAGAGGAUGUUUUUGGCGCGGUGCCUUCCGAGUUCCCUGGAACGGGACGCCACAGAGGGUGAGAGCCCCGUAUGGUUGGACACUAAGCCUGUGUAAAACUCCUUCGACGAGUCGAGUAGUUUGGGAAUGCUGCUCUAAAUGGGAGGUAAAUCUCUUCUAAAGCUAAAUACCGGCCAGAGACCGAUAGCGCACAAGUAGAGUGAUCGAAAGAUGAAAAGCACCUUGAAAAGGGGGUUAAACAGUACGUGAAAUUGUUGAAAGGGAAGCGCUUAUGACCAGACUUGUGCCGUGCGGCUCAUCCGGGGUUCUCCCCGGUGCACUCCGCACGGCUCAGGCCAGCAUCGGUUUUCGUUGGGGGAUAAGAACUGUAGGAACGUGGCCCCUUUCGGGGGGUGUUAUAGCCUAUGGUACGAUACCCUGGCGGGGACCGAGGACCGCGCUUCGGCAAGGAUGCUGGCGUAAUGGUCAUCAGCGACCCGUCUUGAAACACGGACCAAGGAGUCGUCCAUUAGAGCGAGCGUUUGGGUGUAAAACCCGCACGCGUAAUGAAAGUGAAAUUAGGUGAGAGCUUCGGCGCAUCAUCGACCGAUCCUGAUGUUCUCGGAAGGAUUUGAGUAAGAGUUUUAACGGACGGACCCGAAAGACAGUGAACUAUGCUUGUAUAGGGUGAAGCCAGAGGAAACUCUGGUGGAGGCUCGCAGCGGUUCUGACGUGCAAAUCGAUCGUCAAAUAUGAGCAUGGGGGCGAAAGACUAAUCGAACUGUCUAGUAGCUGGUUACCG
This 892-nucleotide ribosomal RNA is filed under the name Synnemasporella aculeans. RNAcentral's name for it is "LSU rRNA". It matches the Rfam family "Eukaryotic large subunit ribosomal RNA", at positions 37 to 960 of the family's 3401-position model. The record is from RNAcentral. Lineage: Eukaryota; Fungi; Ascomycota; Sordariomycetes; Diaporthales; Synnemasporellaceae.